CGCGUAGGCGGGUUUUCAAGUCGGUUGUGAAAUCCCCCAGCUCAACUGGGGAACGGCAUCCGAUACUGUCUGUCUUGAGGACGUGAGGGGAGAGUGGAACUUCUGGUGGAGCGGUGAAAUGCGUAGAUAUCAGAAGGAACGCCGGUGGCGAAAGCGACUCUCUGGCUCGUAUCUGACGCUGAGGCGCGAAAGCUUGGGUAGCAAACG
RNAcentral lists this ribosomal RNA (207 nucleotides) under uncultured bacterium. RNAcentral describes it as "partial 16S ribosomal RNA". It matches the Rfam family "Bacterial small subunit ribosomal RNA", at positions 568 to 774 of the family's 1533-position model. The record is from RNAcentral.